CCGUAACUAUAACGGUCCUAAGGUAGCGAAAUUCCUUGUCGGGUAAGUUCCGACCUGCACGAAUGGCGUAAUGAUGGCCAGGCUGUCUCCACCCGAGACUCAGUGAAAUUGAACUCGCUGUGAAGAUGCAGUGUACCCGCGGCAAGACGGAAAGACCCCGUGAACCUUUACUAUAGCUUGACACUGAACAUUGAGCCUUGAUGUGUAGGAUAGGUGGGAGGCUUUGAAGCGUGGACGCCAGUCUGCGUGGAGCCAACCUUGAAAUACCACCCUUUAAUGUUUGAUGUUCUAACGUUGGCCCCUKACCGGGGUUGCGGACAGUGUCUGGUGGGUAGUUUGACUGGGGCGGUCUCCUCCCAAAGCGUAACGGAGGAGCACGAAGGUUAGCUAAUCCUGGUCGGACAUCAGGAGGUUAGUGCAAUGGCAUAAGCUAGCUUGACUGCGAGCGUGACGGCGCGAGCAGGUGCGAAAGCAGGUCAUAGUGAUCCGGUGGUUCUGAAUGGAAGGGCCAUCGCUCAACGGAUAAAAGGUACUCCGGGGAUAACAGGCUGAUACCGCCCAAGAGUUCAUAUCGACGGCGGUGUUUGGCACCUCGAUGUCGGCUCAUCACAUCCUGGGGCUGAAGUAGGUCCCAAGGGUAUGGCUGUUCGCCGUUUAAAGUGGUACGCGAGCUGGGUUUAGAACGUCGUGAGACAGCCAAUGGCAUUGCCCGGUAGCUAAGUGCGGAAGAGAUAACCGCUGAAAGCAUCUAAGCGGGAAACUUGCCUUGAGAUGAGUCUUCCCUGACUCUUUAAGGGUCCUAAAGGAACGUUUAAGACUAAGACGUUGAUAGGUUGGGUGUGUAAGCGUAGCGAUACGUUGAGCUAACCAAUACUAAUGAACCGUGAGGCUUAACCUG
Molecule: ribosomal RNA, 898 nt
Filed under: Providencia rettgeri
Lineage: Bacteria; Pseudomonadati; Pseudomonadota; Gammaproteobacteria; Enterobacterales; Morganellaceae
Description: partial 23S ribosomal RNA
Source: RNAcentral